UACGUAAGGCGCAAGCGUUAUCCGGAAUUAUUGGGCGUAAAGAGCUCGUAGGCGGUCUGUCACGUCGGGAGUGAAAACUCAGGGCUUAACCCUGAGCCUGCUUCCGAUACGGGCAGGCUAGAGUUCGGUAGGGGAGACUGGAAUUCCUGGUGUAGCGGUGAAAUGCGCAGAUAUCAGGAGGAACACCGGUGGCGAAGGCGGGUCUCUGGGCCGAUACUGACGCUGAGGAGCGAAAGCGUGGGGAGCGAACAGG
Molecule: ribosomal RNA, 253 nt
Filed under: uncultured bacterium
Lineage: Bacteria
Description: partial 16S ribosomal RNA
Rfam family: Bacterial small subunit ribosomal RNA
Source: RNAcentral